This 127-nucleotide ribosomal RNA is filed under the name Corynebacterium diphtheriae. Its description in RNAcentral is "partial 16S ribosomal RNA". It matches the Rfam family "Bacterial small subunit ribosomal RNA", at positions 1 to 122 of the family's 1533-position model. Lineage: Bacteria; Bacillati; Actinomycetota; Actinomycetes; Mycobacteriales; Corynebacteriaceae. The record is from RNAcentral.
UUUUUUUAUGGAGAGUUUGAUCCUGGCUCAGGACGAACGCUGGCGGCGUGCUUAACACAUGCAAGUCGAACGGAAAGGCCUAGCUUGCUAGGUACUCGAGUGGCGAACGGGUGAGUAACACGUGGGU